This 72-nucleotide transfer RNA is filed under the name Papilio machaon (common yellow swallowtail). It matches the Rfam family "tRNA". From Rfam's summary of the family: Transfer RNA (tRNA) molecules are approximately 80 nucleotides in length. The record is from Rfam by way of RNAcentral. Lineage: Eukaryota; Metazoa; Arthropoda; Insecta; Lepidoptera; Papilionidae.
GGGGGUGUAACUCAGCGGUAGAGUAUCUGCUUCGCAUGCUGAAAGUCCUGGGUUCAAAUCCCAGCACCUCCA